This 334-nucleotide unclassified non-coding RNA is filed under the name soil metagenome. RNAcentral's name for it is "partial contains 5.8S ribosomal RNA, internal transcribed spacer 2, and large subunit ribosomal RNA". The stretch from base 1 to 120 matches the Rfam family "5.8S ribosomal RNA", at positions 35 to 154 of the family's 154-position model. The record is from RNAcentral.
GAUGAAGAACGCAGCGAAAUGCGAUACGUAAUGUGAAUUGCAGAAUUCAGUGAAUCAUCGAAUCUUUGAACGCACAUUGCGCCCGCCAGCACUCUGGCGGGCAUGCCUGUUCGAGCGUCAUUUCAACCAUCAAGCCCCAGGCUUGCGUUGGAGCCCUGCGGCUGCCACAGCCUCCUAAAAGCAGUGGCGGGCUCGCUAUCACACCGAGUGCAGUAGAUUACUCUUCGCUCAGGGCGUGCAGCGGGUUCCGGCCGUGAAACCCCCUACUUUUAAAGGUUGACCUCGGAUCAGGUAGGAAUACCCGCUGAACUUAAGCAUAUCAAUAAGCGGAGGA